This 461-nucleotide ribosomal RNA is filed under the name uncultured bacterium. RNAcentral describes it as "partial 16S ribosomal RNA". It matches the Rfam family "Bacterial small subunit ribosomal RNA", at positions 338 to 795 of the family's 1533-position model. The record is from RNAcentral.
CCUACGGGGAGCAGCAGUGAGGAAUAUUGGUCAAUGGACGAGAGUCUGAACCAGCCAAGUAGCGUGAAGGAUGACUGCCCUAUGGGUUGUAAACUUCUUUUAUAAAGGAAUAAAACGAGGCACGUGUGCCUUUUUUGCAUGUACUUUAUGAAUAAGGAUCGGCUAACUCCGUGCCAGCAGCCGCGGUAAUACGGAGGAUCCGAGCGUUAUCCGGAUUUAUUGGGUUUAAAGGGAGCGUAGAUGGGUUGUUAAGUCAGUUGUGAAAGUUUGCGGCUCAACCGUAAAAUUGCAAUUGAUACUGGCAGUCUUGAGUACAGUUGAGGUAGGCGGAAUUCGUGGUGUAGCGGUGAAAUGCUUAGAUAUCACGAAGAACCCCGAUUGCGAAGGCAGCUUACUAAACUGUGACUGACAUUGAUGCUCGAAAGUGUGGGUAUCAAACAGGAUUAGAUACCCUUGUAGUC